Molecule: ribosomal RNA, 465 nt
Filed under: uncultured bacterium
Lineage: Bacteria
Description: bacterial SSU rRNA
Rfam family: Bacterial small subunit ribosomal RNA
Source: RNAcentral
AAUGAACGCUGGCGGCAUGCCUAACACAUGCAAGUCUAGGGGUAGCAAUACCACUGGCGCACGGGUGAGUAACACGUAGGUUAUCUGCCCCCAUCACAGACAUAACCCCGGGAAACCGGGCUAAUAUCUGAUGAGGUCGCGAGAUCAAAGCUUCGGCGGAUGGGGAUGAGCCUGCGGCUGAUUAGCUAGUUGGUGAGGUAAUGGCUCACCAAGGCGACGAUCAGUAGCUGGUCUGAGAGGACGAACAGCCACACUGGAACUGAGACACGGUCCAGACUCCUACGGGAGGCAGCAGUGAGGAAUAUUGGUCAAUGGGAGCAAUCCUGAACCAGCAAUGCCGCGUGUGGGAUGACAGGGCUUCGCCUUGUAAACCACUGUCGGACGGGACGAAGGAGGCCUCGGGCCUCUGGGACGGUACCGUCAAAGGAAGGGUCGGCUAACGUACGUGCCAGCAGCCGCGGUAAU